GCUGCGGUAUCCGAGUGGUUAAAGGGAUGGACUUGAAAUCCAUUGGGUUCUGGGCGCACAGGUUCGAAUCCCGUCCGGAGCG
RNAcentral lists this transfer RNA (82 nucleotides) under Penaeus vannamei (Pacific white shrimp). RNAcentral's name for it is "Litopenaeus vannamei (Pacific white shrimp) tRNA". It matches the Rfam family "tRNA". Rfam says of the family: Transfer RNA (tRNA) molecules are approximately 80 nucleotides in length. Their secondary structure includes four short double-helical elements and three loops (D, anti-codon, and T loops). The record is from Rfam by way of RNAcentral. Lineage: Eukaryota; Metazoa; Arthropoda; Malacostraca; Decapoda; Penaeidae.